This 429-nucleotide ribosomal RNA is filed under the name uncultured bacterium. Its description in RNAcentral is "bacterial SSU rRNA". It matches the Rfam family "Bacterial small subunit ribosomal RNA", at positions 291 to 736 of the family's 1533-position model. The record is from RNAcentral.
CCUGAGAGGGUGACCGGCCACAUUGGGACUGAGACACGGCCCAAACUCCUACGGGAGGCAGCAGUGGGGAAUAUUGCACAAUGGGGGAAACCCUGAUGCAGCGACGCCGCGUGAGCGAAGAAGUAUUUCGGUAUGUAAAGCUCUAUCAGCAGGGAAGAAGAAUGACGGUACCUGACUAAGAAGCACCGGCUAAAUACGUGCCAGCAGCCGCGGUAAUACGUAUGGUGCAAGCGUUAUCCGGAUUUACUGGGUGUAAAGGGAGCGCAGGCGGUGCGGCAAGUCUGAUGUGAAAGCCCGGGGCUCAACCCCGGUACUGCAUUGGAAACUGUCGUACUAGAGUGUCGGAGGGGUAAGUGGAAUUCCUAGUGUAGCGGUGAAAUGCGUAGAUAUUAGGAGGAACACCAGUGGCGAAGGCGGCUUACUGGACGA